This 781-nucleotide long non-coding RNA is filed under the name Homo sapiens (human). RNAcentral's name for it is "non-protein coding lnc-MAP9-8:1". Lineage: Eukaryota; Metazoa; Chordata; Mammalia; Primates; Hominidae. The record is from RNAcentral.
AUGUCCCACCAAACACGUGCCUACCAUAUAGUCAAACCCAGCCCCUGACCACUAACAGGAGCUCUCUCAGCUCUCCUAAUAACAUCUGGCCUGGCCAUGUGAUUUCACUUUAACUCUAUCACCCUUUUAACCCUAGGCCUACUAACCAACACACUAUAUAUACCAGUGAUGACGUGACAUUAUCCAAGAAAGUACAUUUCAAGGCCCCCACACAUCAAUCAUCCAAAAAGGCCUCCGAUAUAGCGUAAUUCUAUUCGUUAUCUCAGAAGUAUUCUUUUUUGCUGGUUUCUUCUGGGCAUUCUACCACUCUAGCCUAGCCCCAACUCCAGAGCUAGGGGGACAUUGACACCCAACAGGCAUUUUUCCCCUCAACCCCUUAGAAGUCCCUCUCCUGAAUACACCUGUAUUACUUGCAUCAGGAGUUUCAACUACCUGGGCUCACCACAGCCUGAUAGAAAGUAGUAGAAAGCAGAUACUUCAAGCACUAUCCAUCACAAUUACCUUAGGAAUUUGUUUGACCCUUCUACUAGUCUUAGAAUAUUUCGAGGCCCCGUUUACUAUCUUUGAUGGAAUCUACAGCUCAACAUCCUUCAUAGCCACAGGCUUUCACGGACUUCAUGUUAUUAUUGGAUCAACAUUUCUCACUAUCUGCCUCCUCCGCUAAUUAAAAUUCCACUUUACAUCCAACCACCACUUUGGCUUUGAAGCUGCCGCCUGAUAUGGACACUUCAUAGAUGUAGUAUGACUAUUCUUAUACGUCUCUAUCUACUGAUGAGGAUCC